RNAcentral lists this microRNA precursor (76 nucleotides) under Pelobates cultripes (western spadefoot toad). The record is from RNAcentral. Lineage: Eukaryota; Metazoa; Chordata; Amphibia; Anura; Pelobatidae.
GCUGUGUAAUUUGACUCAUAACUCUCUGAUUGUUGGUAACACCAAUCAGAGAGUUAUGAGUCAAAUUACACAGCGU